This is a long non-coding RNA of Neofelis nebulosa (Clouded leopard), 607 nucleotides long. RefSeq lists it as uncharacterized. The transcript is spliced from 3 exons. The record is from RefSeq and is a predicted model, not a curated record. NCBI's taxonomy places the organism in Eukaryota, Metazoa, Chordata, Mammalia, Carnivora, Felidae.
CCACAAGAUGGGUUCAAGGACCUAUUUUGACUCUGUGACUUCCCUUUGGCAGUUGUGCCACUACUUGUAGCCACCCUGCUACUCUGGGAUCUAAUUACGCCUAUUGCAUUCAUGUUUUGCGAAUGGUUGCAGUUCCCACUGUAAGGUCUGGCCUACAGAGACAAGCAAUCAUGGAGUUCGUCGAGGAUGAAUAAUAAGAAGAAUGGAAAAGCCAGAAAGAAGAAAAGACCCAUGAAGAAACAUGUCAAUAAAACUGCUUCCUCAAGCGAUUUAGACAGUUCCCCUGAAGGAGAACUGAGCAGCCCCUACCUGGUGCUCAGAACCGGAUUCUUCCUCAGCGUACAAAGAGUUCUAUAAUGGCCAUGGAGAAGAGGAGGUUAGGAUCCAUUUGGUACCAAUGACAGAGAAGGAGAGAGAAUCAGAAUCACGCAGCCAAACAGAGAAGAGAAAAAUACAACAGAGGGUAUAAGUUAAGGUUACCUGCAUCUUCUGUUUUUAUUUCUCUUCUCCCUCUUUCAUUCUUUCUUUCACUCUGACUUAUAAGUGGAGACUUAAUGUACUAAAUGAUGUGAUUGUUACCAUAAUAAAGAAAUAAAUGGUGUGGUGA